UACGUAGGCAGCGAGCGUUGUUCGGAGUUACUGGGCGUAAAGAGUGCGUAGGCGGUUUUCUAAGUUUGGUGUGAAAUCUCCCGGCUCAACUGGGAGGGUGCGCCGAAGACUGGAAGGCUUGAGUAUGGGAGAGGUAAGCGGAAUUCCUGGUGUAGCGGUGAAAUGCGUAGAUAUCGGGAGGAACACCAGUGGCGAAGGCGACUACCUGGCCCAUUCUUGACGCUGAGGCGCGAAAGCUAGGGGAGCGAACGGG
RNAcentral lists this ribosomal RNA (253 nucleotides) under uncultured bacterium. RNAcentral's name for it is "partial 16S ribosomal RNA". It matches the Rfam family "Bacterial small subunit ribosomal RNA", at positions 524 to 776 of the family's 1533-position model. The record is from RNAcentral.